UGUCCAGACUCCUACGGGAGGCAGCAGUGGGGAAUAUUGCACAAUGGGGGAAACCCUGAUGCAGCGACGCCGCGUGAGUGAAGAAGUAUUUCGGUAUGUAAAGCUCUAUCAGCAGGGAAGAAAAAAGACGGUACCUGACUAAGAAGCCCCGGCUAACUACGUGCCAGCAGCCGCGGUAAUACGUAGGGGGCAAGCGUUAUCCGGAUUUACUGGGUGUAAAGGGAGCGUAGACGGUAUGGCAAGUCUGAAGUGAAAGCCCAGGGCUUAACCCUGGGACUGCUUUGGAAACUGUUAGACUAGAGUGCUGGAGAGGUAAGUGGAAUUCCUAGUGUAGCGGUGAAAUGCGUAGAUAUCAGGAGGAACACCGGUGGCGAAGGCGGCCUGCUGGACUGCGACUGACGUUGAGGCCCGAAAGCGUGGGGAGCAAACAGGAUUAGAUACCCCCGUA
This 448-nucleotide ribosomal RNA is filed under the name uncultured bacterium. RNAcentral describes it as "partial 16S ribosomal RNA". It matches the Rfam family "Bacterial small subunit ribosomal RNA", at positions 328 to 792 of the family's 1533-position model. The record is from RNAcentral.